UCCGGUUGAUCCUGCCAGAGGCUACUGCUAUCGGGGUUCGAUUAAGCCAUGCGAGUUAAAUGUUCUUCGUGAACAUAGCGAACUGCUCAGUAACACGUGGAUAACCUACCCUUAGGACCGGAAUAACCCCGGGAAACUGGGGAUAAUACCGGAUAAGCCAUAGAUGCUGGAAUGCCCUAUGGUUCAAAGCUCCGGCGCCUAAGGAUGGAUCUGCGGUCUAUCAGGUUGUAGUGGGUGUAACGUACCUACUAGCCGACGACGGAUACGGGUUGUGAGAGCAAGAGCCCGGAGAUGGAUUCUGAGACACGAAUCCAGGCCCUACGGGGUGCAGCAGGCGCGAACACUUUACAAUGCGGGAAACCGCGAUAAGGGAACCCCGAGUGCCAGCAUCAAAUGUUGGCUGUCCAGAUGAUUAAAAAUCAUUUGUUAGCAAGGGCCGGGCAAGACCGGUGCCAGCCGCCGCGGUAACACCGGCGGCCCGAGUGGUAGCCGUUUUUAUUGGGUCUAAAGGGUCCGUAGCCGGCUUGAUAAGUCCUUUGGGAAAUCUGGCAGCUUAACUGUCAGGCUUCUAAGGGAUACUGUCAGGCUUGGGACCGGAAGAGGUAAGGGGUACUCCAGGGGUAGGAGUGAAAUCUUGUAAUCCCUGGGGGACCAUCUGUGGCGAAGGCGCCUUACCAGAACGGGUCCGACGGUGAGGGACGAAAGCUAGGGGAGCAAACCGGAUUAGAUACCCGGGUAGUCCUAGCUGUAAACGAUGCUCGCUAGGUGUCAGACACGGUGCGACCGUGUUUGGUGCCGCAGGGAAGCCGUUAAGCGAGCCACCUGGGAAGUACGGUCGCAAGGCUGAAACUUAAAGGAAUUGGCGGGGGAGCAC
RNAcentral lists this ribosomal RNA (874 nucleotides) under uncultured archaeon. Its description in RNAcentral is "bacterial SSU rRNA". It matches the Rfam family "Archaeal small subunit ribosomal RNA", at positions 1 to 879 of the family's 1478-position model. The record is from RNAcentral.